AGCAGCGUGGCUCAGUGGAAAGAGCAUGGGCUUGGGAGUCAGAGGUCAUGGGUUCUAAUCCUGGCUCUGCUA
RNAcentral lists this transfer RNA (72 nucleotides) under Ornithorhynchus anatinus (platypus). It matches the Rfam family "tRNA". From Rfam's summary of the family: Transfer RNA (tRNA) molecules are approximately 80 nucleotides in length. Their secondary structure includes four short double-helical elements and three loops (D, anti-codon, and T loops). Further hydrogen bonds mediate the characteristic L-shaped molecular structure. tRNAs have two regions of fundamental functional importance: the anti-codon, which is responsible for specific mRNA codon recognition, and the 3' end, to which the tRNAs corresponding amino acid is attached (by aminoacyl-tRNA synthetases). tRNAs cope with the degeneracy of the genetic code in two manners: having more than one tRNA (with a specific anti-codon) for a particular amino acid; and 'wobble' base-pairing, i.e. permitting non-standard base-pairing at the 3rd anti-codon position. The record is from Rfam by way of RNAcentral. Lineage: Eukaryota; Metazoa; Chordata; Mammalia; Monotremata; Ornithorhynchidae.